Molecule: unclassified non-coding RNA, 381 nt
Filed under: uncultured bacterium
Lineage: Bacteria
Description: contains 16S-23S intergenic spacer region
Source: RNAcentral
UCCGGUUUGGCACCGGCAGUCUUCCUAGAGUCCCCGCCAUUACGCGCUGGCAACUAAGAAUAAGGGUUGCGCUCGUUGCGGGACUUAACCCAACACUUCACGGCACGAGCUGACGACAGCCAUGCAGCACCUCUACCACUGUCUCUUGCGAGAAGGCGAUGUUUCCACCGCUGGUCAGUGGCAGUUCAAGCCCAGGUAAGGUUCUUCGCGUUGCGUCGAAUUAAACCACAUGCUCCGCUGCUUGUGCGGGCCCCCGUCAAUUCCUUUGAGUUUUAGCCAUGCGGCCGUACUCCCCAGGCGGGGUGCUUAAUGCGUUAGCUUCGGCACGGACGGAGCCGACACCGCCCACACCUAGCACCCAUCGUUUACGGCGUGGACUAC